GGACUACCGGGGUAUCUAAUCCUGUUUGCUCCCCACGCUUUCGUGCCUCAGCGUCAGUAUCGGACCAGUGAGCCGCCUUCGCCACUGGUGUUCUUGCGAAUAUCUACGAAUUUCACCUCUACACUCGCAGUUCCACUCACCUCUUCCGAACUCAAGAUUCCCAGUAUUAAAGGCAGUUCUGGAGUUGAGCUCCAGGCUUUCACCUCUAACUUAAGAACCCGCCUACGCACCCUUUACGCCCAGUGAUUCCGAGCAACGCUAGCCCCCUUCGUAUUACCGCGGCUGCUGGCAC
RNAcentral lists this ribosomal RNA (292 nucleotides) under uncultured bacterium. RNAcentral's name for it is "partial 16S ribosomal RNA". The record is from RNAcentral.